This is a long non-coding RNA of Micropterus salmoides (largemouth bass), 545 nucleotides long. RefSeq lists it as uncharacterized. The record is from RefSeq and is a predicted model, not a curated record. Lineage: Eukaryota; Metazoa; Chordata; Actinopteri; Centrarchiformes; Centrarchidae. The transcript has 2 exons.
CUCAGAUCCAACCUACCAGCACCCAUCAUUUAAGGACCGGGUGCAGCUGGUGGACAGAGAGCUGAAGGACGGAGACGUGUCUUUAAUUCUGAAGAACGUGAGCAGCAACGACGCUGGAACAUACGAGUGUCGAGUUGCAGCAAGUGAGUCAAGUGAGAAAGCUGUCAUUGAGACGGAGCCAAUCAGAAUCUACCAGCUGGAGGUUUCAGGGUCCAACAGCGGAGACGUCGAGGAGGGAAACUACAGACAUUACUACGGACUGGGAGCAGCUUUUGUUCUGGUUUGUUUAGCUGCUGUUGUUGGCUGGAAAUAUAAAAGGAGGAGCCGUGAGCGAAUGUAGCCGAUGUAUUAAUGUGAUAGUUUGGAGGUUUAUAGCUUCCAGUUUGCUCUUCUGUUAAUGUUGUGUUGUUUCUUUUAUGUGUAUACCUGCUAUGUAUACAGUUUAUUUUUGGGGAGUUUUAUUUCGUUAAUUGUGGGACUUUAGCUUUGACCUUGGACACUUUGGUAACUGUGGGGAGAAUUGAACAAAUAAAUGAAAUACAACA